Molecule: long non-coding RNA, 322 nt
Organism: Suricata suricatta (meerkat)
Lineage: Eukaryota; Metazoa; Chordata; Mammalia; Carnivora; Herpestidae
Exons: 2
Source: RefSeq, a predicted model, not a curated record
CAGGUGCAUUCUCCUAUCCCUCUUGCAUCUGGCCCACGAGAAGUGAGAGGAAAAAGCAGCCACUGUUUGCUCCCUCAAAGGCUGAAAUGCUCGAUUGGCAGACACGCCUAUUACUUAAACAGAAGAUAAGAGGAAAAGCGAGAAGCAGGUCUUACUGGGUAAUACUCGAUGAUAGAAACUGCGAUCUUGAAAAUCUGAAAACGUUUUGUGUUUGAAUUAUCCGAGAAAAUGAAACAAACAAUCAUGACUUUUGUGAGUUUGAUGGACUAUCAGAGUUUCAAAGAUAACCCCGGGGAACGUUUUAAUAAAUAUUGGUGGGUGA